Molecule: long non-coding RNA, 782 nt
Filed under: Ananas comosus (pineapple)
Lineage: Eukaryota; Viridiplantae; Streptophyta; Magnoliopsida; Poales; Bromeliaceae
Description: long non-coding RNA (ACOM_LNC001543)
Source: RNAcentral
GGCUUGGUACAUAAAUUUUAGAAUUAAUUUCAUACGUAUCUUUGUAAAUAUAGUAAAUCAUAAAUAUAUUUCUAUAAAAUUUAAUUUAUAUAUAUAUAUAUAUAUUGUCUCUGUAAAAGUCCUGAUGUUUUCAAAUAUGUUCUUACUGUUAAAAUUCGUUAGAAAGUUUUAGUUAAUCAUAGGUUAAAUACUUAAUCUUGAUUAGUUUUUUAUAUUUUUAUCCUUCUUAUAUUAUACUGUUAUGACUUUUAGAGAGACAUAUUUAUAGUGGUAAAAUUGAAAAAAUAAAUGAUUUUCUAAUAGCUCUCUAAGAGUAACAAACCAAAAGGACAUGUUUCAAAAUAUCAGAACUUUUGUAGGAAUAAUAUAUGAAAGUUGAACUUUGUAGGGAUAUAUUUGCUAUUCACUAUAUUUGCACGGAUUUGCAUGAAAUUAAUCCUAAAUUUUAUCUCUACCUGAUUCAAAAUUGAAUAGAUUUUAUAUAAUAUAUUUAAAUGCUUAAUAUCAUAUUUAAGUUAAUAUUUAAAAAAAUUAAAUUUUAAUACAAUAUGUUUAGAAAUAGAGUAAAUAAAAAAAUAAUUAUUUCGAGUUCGGAAUUAGGAUCGGGUUUUGGAUUUUUUUAUUGAAUUCGAUUUUAGAUGUGAAUUUUUAAAGCGCGUCAGGUUCGGAUGCGAAUUCGGGUUUGAAUUAACAUUUUGAUUUGGAUUUUGAUUGUCGAAUUCGAAUUUAAAUUUUUUAAAAAUUCGUUUCGAAUCUGACGAGUUGACAUCCCUACUUAGCGA